RNAcentral lists this ribosomal RNA (329 nucleotides) under Lachnospiraceae bacterium. Its description in RNAcentral is "bacterial SSU rRNA". It matches the Rfam family "Bacterial small subunit ribosomal RNA", at positions 1 to 309 of the family's 1533-position model. The record is from RNAcentral. Lineage: Bacteria; Bacillati; Bacillota; Clostridia; Lachnospirales; Lachnospiraceae.
UUUUUAUGAGAGUUUGAUCCUGGCUCAGGAUGAACGCUGGCGGCGUGCCUAACACAUGCAAGUCGAACGGAGAUUACGGACGGAAGUUUUCGGAUGGAAGACUGUAAUUCUUAGUGGCGGACGGGUGAGUAACGCGUGGGCAACCUGCCCUAUACAGGGGGAUAGCAGCUGGAAACGGCUGGUAAGACCGCAUAAGUCGGCGAGACCGCAUGGUUUUGUCGGGAAAUGAGCAAUCAGGUAUAGGAUGGGCCCGCGUCCGAUUAGCCAGUUGGCAGGGUAAAAGCCUACCAAAGCAACGAUCGGUAGCCGGACUGAGAGGUCGGACGGCC